CCUACGGGAGGCAGCAGUGGGGAAUUUUGGACAAUGGGCGCAAGCCUGAUCCAGCAAUGCCGCGUGAGUGAAGAAGGCCUUCGGGUUGUAAAGCUCUUUUGUCAGGGAAGAAACGGUCUACUCUAAUACAGUGGGCUAAUGACGGUACCUGAAGAAUAAGCACCGGCUAACUACGUGCCAGCAGCCGCGGUAAUACGUAGGGUGCAAGCGUUAAUCGGAAUUACUGGGCGUAAAGCGUGCGCAGGCGGUUAUAUAAGUCAGAUGUGAAAUCCCCGGGCUCAACCUGGGAACUGCAUUUGAGACUGUAUGGCUAGAGUGUGUCAGAGGGGGGUAGAAUUCCACGUGUAGCAGUGAAAUGCGUAGAUAUGUGGAGGAAUACCGAUGGCGAAGGCAGCCCCCUGGGAUAACACUGACGCUCAUGCACGAAAGCGUGGGGAGCAAACAGGAUUAGAUACCCUGGUAGUCCACGCCCUAAACGAUGUCUACUAGUUGUCGGGACUUAAUUGUCUUGGUAACGCAGCUACGACGUGAGUAGACGCCGUCGGAGGUACGGUCGCGAGAGUAAACGUAACGUAAGUAGUAGUACGUACGUCGUAGACGACGACGACGACGACGACGGAGGAGGGAGAG
RNAcentral lists this ribosomal RNA (630 nucleotides) under uncultured bacterium. RNAcentral describes it as "bacterial SSU rRNA". The stretch from base 1 to 540 matches the Rfam family "Bacterial small subunit ribosomal RNA", at positions 338 to 873 of the family's 1533-position model. The record is from RNAcentral.